Molecule: ribosomal RNA, 334 nt
Filed under: uncultured eukaryote
Lineage: Eukaryota
Description: partial 18S ribosomal RNA
Rfam family: Eukaryotic small subunit ribosomal RNA
Source: RNAcentral
CCCUUAGAUGUCCGGGGCCGCACGCGCGCUACACUGAAGGAAUCAGCGUGGCUUUCUCCCUGACCCGAAAGGGUUGGGAAACCCGUUGAAUCUCCUUCGUGAUAGGGAUUGGGGCUUGAAAUUGUUCCCCAUGAACGAGGAAUUCCCAGUAAGCGCGAGUCAUAAGCUCGCGUUGAUUACGUCCCUGCCCUUUGUACACACCGCCCGUCGCUACUAUCGAUUGAGCGGUUCAGUGAGGGCCUCGGAUUGGUCUCGGUCUGGCGUGCAAGCGCCGGCACCGUUGGCCGAGAAGACGCUCGAACUCGAUCGCUUGGAGAAAGUAAAAGUCGUAACA